Molecule: ribosomal RNA, 252 nt
Filed under: uncultured bacterium
Lineage: Bacteria
Description: partial 16S ribosomal RNA
Rfam family: Bacterial small subunit ribosomal RNA
Source: RNAcentral
UACGAGGGGUCCGAGCGUUGUCCGGAAUUAUUGGGCGUAAAGAGCUCGUAGGCGGUCUGUCGCGUCGGCUGUGAAAACCCGGGGCUCAACCCCGGGCCUGCAGUCGAUACGGGCAGACUAGAGUGCGGUAGGGGAGACUGGAAUUCCUGGUGUAGCGGUGAAAUGCGCAGAUAUCAGGAAGAACACCCGUGGCUAAGGCGGUUCUCUAGUACGGUACUGACGCUGAGACGCGAAAGCGUGGGGAGCGAACGG